RNAcentral lists this transfer RNA (71 nucleotides) under Sphaerodactylus townsendi. RNAcentral's name for it is "tRNA-His". It matches the Rfam family "tRNA". Rfam says of the family: Transfer RNA (tRNA) molecules are approximately 80 nucleotides in length. Their secondary structure includes four short double-helical elements and three loops (D, anti-codon, and T loops). Lineage: Eukaryota; Metazoa; Chordata; Lepidosauria; Squamata; Sphaerodactylidae. The record is from RNAcentral.
GGCCUGUGGCUCAGCGGCAGAGCACUUGCUUGUGGUGCAGAAGGUCCCAGGUUCAAUUCCCAGCAUCUCCA